RNAcentral lists this non-coding RNA (178 nucleotides) under marine eukaryotic metagenome. Its description in RNAcentral is "6S / SsrS RNA". It matches the Rfam family "6S / SsrS RNA". Rfam says of the family: E. coli 6S RNA was the first non coding RNA to be sequenced, but its function was unknown until recently. It consists of 184 nucleotides that fold into an extended hairpin structure with a large single-stranded internal bulge. The record is from RNAcentral.
UGCCUGCCCUGUGCGUGAUAGGUGAUGAGGUUGAUCCACCAGGUUAGAUCUUCAGGGAGCCGAUGUAAGGAGGACGGUGUGCAGGCCCUCCUGGGGGAGGGAAGCCUAAAGUCCCCUUCUAGGCACCCACUUGUUGGGAGGGGAUCUAACGCUUGCGCCUACACGGCAGGGCGGGUCC